RNAcentral lists this long non-coding RNA (237 nucleotides) under Pan troglodytes (chimpanzee). RNAcentral's name for it is "lincRNA". Lineage: Eukaryota; Metazoa; Chordata; Mammalia; Primates; Hominidae. The record is from RNAcentral.
CAUCCGGGUCCUGGCGCGCUGCUCUCCCGGCAGCGACGGGCGCGAGGGCCGGGGCAUUCCCACGGCGGCGACGGCCCUCUCCGCGAGCGCGAGGAUGUACAUGAAGCAUGGCACCAACAGCUGCUCCUGUGAGGCCUCAAGAAGCUUACAAUCGUGGCAGAAGCUGAAGGGGGAGCCAGCGUGUGGCAUGGCAAGGGAAGGAGCAAGAGAGAGAGGGAGGAGCUGCCAGUCUCUUUU